ACGGGGUGCAGCAGGCGCGAAAACUCCGCAAUGCACGAAAGUGUGACGGGGCUACCCCGAGUGCCAUCCGCUGAGGAUGGCUUUUCUUUGGUAUAACUAGCCAUUGGAAUAAGGAGAGGGCAAGACUGGUGUCAGCCGCCGCGGUAAUACCAGCUCUCCGAGUGGUAGGGAUGAUUAUUGGGCUUAAAGCGUCCGUAGCCGGCUUAGCAAGUUUCCUGUUAAACUCAGCGACUCAAUCGUUGGAUCGCGGGAAAUACUACUAGGCUAGGAGGCGGGAGAGGUCAACGGUACUUCUGGGGUA
RNAcentral lists this ribosomal RNA (301 nucleotides) under uncultured archaeon. Its description in RNAcentral is "bacterial SSU rRNA". It matches the Rfam family "Archaeal small subunit ribosomal RNA", at positions 325 to 628 of the family's 1478-position model. The record is from RNAcentral.